This is a long non-coding RNA of Mercenaria mercenaria, 6809 nucleotides long. RefSeq lists it as uncharacterized. NCBI's taxonomy places the organism in Eukaryota, Metazoa, Mollusca, Bivalvia, Venerida, Veneridae. The record is from RefSeq and is a predicted model, not a curated record. The transcript is spliced from 4 exons.
AACCCACAUCACCUGAUACUGCCGGAGAAGUAUACCACCAUUCAGUCACCUGAUACUGCCAGAGAAGUAUACCCCACAUCACCUGAUAUUGCCGGAGAAGUAUACCCCACAUCACCUGAUAUUGCCGGAGAAGUAUACCCCACCAACAGAGUUGUUACAUCUGGGCUUUUAGCAAUCCCAACUUUGAAUUCCUGUGCAGUGAAAAUUUUCCAUUCUUCAACCCAGUACAAACACAAGCUAUGAGUGACAGCAUUGGUAGGCCAGUGUGGAUGAGUAAUUUCCUGUCAGUAUUCAUCCAAUUGUAACUCAAAUUUGAAAAAAAAAAAGGAAAUGGAGAAAAGGGCUGGUGACAUUGUAGAAAAAGUUGCCCAACAGCCUCCUGCAGGUGCAGCAAAGGAUGCUUCUAGCAAAGAGAUGUAGGAUGUGGCUGCAAGUAGAAACUGACAAGGCAGCGAAGCAUUCUUGUGUAGAUGAUGACAAUGACUGCAUCUCUACAAAAUGAGGGAAAAAAGGUCAACACAGUCAUCAUCAACACUCUGUCAACAGAACUGCUGUCAGAACAAGGGAAAAAAACAGUUUCCAUGCCAAACUAGAACUGGAAUGUCAUGUGCAGUAGACACAGCUUGGCACAAAAGGGGAUUUAACAGUUUAACGUUUCGAGGCGGACAGUUUCCUCAUAUCACACUGAUGGCUGCUGCAGAGCUGAACAGUGGACAGUUUCCUCAUAUCACACUGAUAGCUGCUGCAGAGCUGAACAGUGGACAUUCCUUCAAUACAUACGUUUUACCUAAAACACUGAUCACCUCAACAGCCCAACAAGUUACUGGAAUUGUAAUGUCAGGUAGUAACUGUAUGUCAGUAAAUGGAAUGCCAGUGGAAGCAGAAUUUAAAACUACAUCACUGGAAAAGUUCUGUAAAUGGCUAGAACAGUCAGGUGGCCCGCAAUGGCAGAAGAUUUGACUUUCCAGUUCUGAUGAAAGCAGUAGCCUGUUGUAAAAUUCUUGAGAGCUUUUUUAAAUGUGUGUCUGAAUUUGUUGCUUCUCUAACAGUUUUACGCACACUUUUUCCUGGCAGUUUCUGGUACAAACAAGAUCUUGUCCAGGAAUUUUGAGUGAAAGUUAUGGAGAGUGAAAGCUAUGGAGCACAGAAUGCCACGGAGGAUGUUAAAGCAUUAGGAAAUCUUUGAAAACACUUGUCAAUAUCGCCUAAAACAAUGUUUUCAUUUAAUUAUUCUCCAAAACCUGUACAACAAAUAUUCAGGCCUCAAUCAUUUGAAAAUAAUUGUCAGGCACAAGGGAGAAGAUGGGCACGUACAUUGUUGAUAUAGUGAAGGACAACCAUGUGUUACAAAUUCAAAGAGGGCAUAAGAGACAGUUAUUCUAAACCUUGUGGAGUAUUUAAAAAAUGAUUUUAUCAUACCUCAUAGCUUAUGCUCCAUAUUGUAAUUUUAAAAGAGUAAGAAAUGUUAAAAAAUGAUGUGUCUUGAUCUGUAUGUCAAGUUUUAUGCUUUCAUUUGGUUACCUAUUUUGAACUCUUAGAACAUAUUAUUAUAUUAUGUAUAUGAACAUUUUACUUUAUUAAAAUUUAUUUAUUAACAUUUAUUUUUAUGUACAAGUGUUACAUGCAUUUUUUAUUAAUAGAAGUAAAAAAAAAAUGGGAGUUCUUUGUUUUAAAAUCCAGUGAAUUUAGGUUUUACAGUAUAAAGCUUUUGUUUACAUUUUACCCCUACUCUAAAACAAGAUAUUUUUAGAAAAUCAGAUGGUGAAAAGUAGAUAAUUCUUUGUGUAUUUGUUUCAUACAAUGAUACAAAUAAUUUGUAUUUAGUCACUACACAUUUAAUAUUUAUAACUUAAAAAAAAAAGAAAAAAAAGUUGAGACCAGAAUUUUUUCCUGAAAAUUGCCAACUUUAUGGCUUGGGGGGUAUAGGAGAAAAGUAUUUCAAAAAAAUUCUUGUACAAAUGUAUAUCAUAAAUCUUCAUAUGUAUUUAUUAUGUCUCCCACCACACAGUGGUAUGGGAGACAUAUUGAUUUACUCAAGUCUGUCUGUCUGUCUGUCACAAAGCUUGUCCGCACUCUAAGUCGAACAUUUCUCAUCUGAUCUUCACCAAACUUCAACAAAAUGUGUCUGCCCAUAAGUGCUCAGCCAAGUUUGAUAACUAGCCAAGUUGGCCUAGUAGUUUAGGCGUCCUUUUGGUGUCAAGAAAGCGCAUGCACAUGUGGAUUAAGUAAACAGUAUAUAAAGACUGACUUGCUAUUAGAUGAUUAGGCAGUUGUGGGAGACAUGUGUUUUUCUUAAAAGCAUCUCUAGUUUAACAUUGUUUAAGUAGUGAACUUACACUGAAACUGUUGUAUUUUGAUGAAUUUGAAAAAAAAUAAGAAUUUCACAUAGUUUAUUUCAUUUUAUCAGUGAAAUUGGCAUAUAAGGAGUUGUGCUCUUUAUGAUUUUAUAACUUUUUUUUGAAUGGUUAAAAUCAUUUAAAAUUUUAGAAAUAAUUCACCCAAGUGAUACAGAUAAUAAAAAUAAAAAGCUUGGUCUGAUUUGAAAUGUGACCAUUUAGGGUCAUAAAUCCUUCGUUAACUCAUUUUGGAUAUGUCUGUACACGAUGCUGCAUGGAACCUAUGACACUGUUGCAGACAGUGUCCUCUAACCUGCCCUUCCAUGAUUCUAGCUACUUUAAAUUACAUUUCUUGUUUAUUUUGCUACAGUACAUUUUAUAGCUUUAAAUUGUGCAAACUAUAGCAAAAAAAUGAUUUUGGGCACACAAACUUUCAAGUAAAACAACAUUUAAAACAAAAAUUGCAUGUGUCAAGAGUAUAAACAUAAUUAAAAACUGUAAUAUUUGUCAGAAAUAACUGUUGAAGUAUCCUGAAUUUUUUUUUUCAGUUUGUAAUCAGCACAAGGUGAAAGCUCUUUACUAGUGAUCUCUGUGUAACUAAGUUCUCUUAUGUACAGUGAUAAAUAUGAACUUUCCAAGUUCUAGCUGCCAAGUCUUGAAAUUUUGAAAUCGAGUUAUUUCAGUAAUAAUGAACUUGUCCAUCUUUCAAUAUGGACAGUAAGUAUUGUAAAUGGUUUAUUUCCUGAUGCUUUCAAAGAGGCUUAUGUUCUCCCAAUAUUCAAAGGUGGGGAUAAAGAAGACCCAAAUAACUACAGGCCAAUAUCUAUUUUGCCUAAAAUUUCCAUUUCUUCUUAAAGAAAACUUAACAUCAUUCACAAAACUCAAUCAUACAGCACUAACUACCAGUAGACUAAUAGAAGCAUAGCUUUCAAAUAUAGAUUCUGGUAAAUACGUUGGAACUGUUUUAUGUUUUUAGAUCUAUGAAAAGCUUUUGAUCUCGGUGACUAUAACUUUUAUUGCAUAAACUGAAACUAUCAUUUUUAGAUCAAAGUUUUGAAUUUUUCAAAUCAUAUCUAUAAAACUGAACUCAAAUGAUAAAAGCGAGAAACUCCAAAUCUAAAAGUAUGCUUGUAACCUCUGGAGUUCCUCAAGGUUCAAUUCUUGACCCACUUUUAUUUUUACAACAUAAACAAUGAUGUCGCUUUAGCUUCAGAGUGGCAAUAUAGACCUCUAUGCUGAUGACUGCUAAAAAUCAGAUUAUGAUUUAGAUAAAGUGCAAACUAAACUCCAGCAGAAUUUAGAUGUUGUGCAACAAGGGUGCAAUUUAAACAAUAUAUGUCACUUCAUCCAAAGAAAACAAAAUGCAUGGUUUUGUUUACUAAACAAAAAAGUAACCAUUGUAAGAACUAUUUUUAUGUAUUUCCAAGCAAGUAACAUAAAAUGUCAAGGUGCAGAAAUUACAUGGUGUUUAUAUAGACAACACAUUGUCAUGUAAUGUUUAAAUUGAAACAGUUUGCACUAAACUUGACUCAAAAAUAGCAUUGUUGAGACGUAUAUUGUACUAUUGUAUUAGAUCUAUAUGACAGAUGAAAUGGAAAAAAUUAUUCUAUAAUGCAUAAUUAUGUGAUGUCAGUAUUUGAUUAUUGUUGUAUUGUAUGGUGUCAAGAAAAUAAGAGUUCUUUAAAGAAAAUGAAAAUUUAAGGUAGAGCUGCAAAAAAUUAUUUUGAAUAAAACGUUCCAAACAAGAACAUAAGAUAUGCGAGAAGAACUUGGGUGGAUGUCAUUUAAUGAAAGAUGUAACUUUCACACAAGUUGUCUUAUUUAUAAAGCUUGCAACAAUUUAGCACCCUCAUAUAUCUCUGAAAUUUUAACCUUUUUCCAGCAAUGAAACAUACAGUCCAAGAUCUGCUGCUCAUAAUGACAUAGUUGUACCUUGACAUCAUACAAAUUAUGGUAAAAAAACCCUUUUGUUACAAUGGUGCAAAUGUUAGGAAUUCAAUACCAAAUGAAAUUUGCUCAACAUGUUUUCUAACAUAUUUUUAAAUACUAGAAAUAUAUUAAGUAUAUCUUGCAUUUGGCUGCCUUAAGAAUCUCUUUGUUUAUAUCAACUGAAUUAUAACUAUGCCAUUAUAAUAUAAUUAUGCAUGUAUAUAUUAUGUUACUAAUUGAUUGCCUAAAUGGAAAUUGUAUAUCUAUUUUAAGGGGUGUUUGUCUAAGAAUGAAUGUGAUAUUAAUUAGCAUAUGUGAUAGUGUAAAUUUUAUUUGGUGGUUGCUGUUGUUUAGAAGGCCACAUUAAAAAGUAAGAAGUAUCAUUUGUACUUUUCACUGAUCUUUAUCUUCAUUUGCUUCAAUCUAUAGAUAAAGAUGUUAUUAUUAUAACAGGAAACAAUCCAUAUUUUAUCUUGCUUACUUAUGCCUUAAACUGUAAUAUUAUUCUGUCAAGCAUAUUUAGGGUGUGUGUCAUACAAUGUGUUUCGCAUUGUUUCAAGUAUUUUUUCUGUAUGCAUGUCAAAUACACAUCAGAUUGCAACAUUUAAGGGUGUUCUUACUAAACAUACUCAGAGUGGGCAUGCCCCUCACCCCUCUAACACUUUAGCACACCAACCAAACCAAAAUUCCGGAUCUACCCUUGAAAAUUACAAACUUUGAGGCAGCUAGUUUUCACGUAUAAUAACCUGUGUGAUUGUUCAGGCAAAUUCUUUCAACUUCAUUACAAAAGCAAGGUUUAAUUUUAGUCAAUUUCUAAAUCUAAAGAAAGUGUUAAUUCUUUGUUCAUAGCAUGUUUUUCAGUACUGAGUAGUUCAGUAAAAUCUAAUGGAAGUUGUUCAUAGUCAAAGAAAAAAUAUUUGUGAAAUUUUAGAGCAAUGUUCUGAAUUACUUAUCAUAGCCAGAAGUCAGGAAUUUAAUUAUUGGUGAAUUUUUUUAACUUUUUCUACAGUUUGAAGGGAAAUGCUUCAGGGUCUAUUUUCUACUUUGCUGAAAUCUGGACAUCUAUUUGUCAGUUGUGUUUCAAGUGUCAUAGAUGAUGGGAAAAAAUAGAUCCUGUUUUGCCAAAUAUAGAAUUAAUGCUCAUUAACUAGAAAUAGAAGUAGGCAGAUACAGUAAACCUCCUUAGUGUAAAAACUUUCCGCUACUAUCAGAUUCUGGUAUGAACAAACUUAUAUUUCUUCUAAGUAAUGAUGUGUCCAUUUUAUACCUGUUAGCCAGAUUUAUAUACGACUGUUUUUGUCUUAGACAUAGCAAUGAAUCCUAUUAAAUCAUUCCAUUCUCAUAGUUUUCCUCAUGUCUUUAAUGUAUAUGAUUCCUUGAUAUUACUAGCCAUUAUGUAAUAUUGUACUAGUCAUAAUAUUAUAUUCUGUUAUAUAACUAGUCCUAAUAGUAUAUUAUAAUUUUCUGCCAGUAUCACAUUACUGUUUUUUAUUACUAUUAUAUUCUUUUUCUGUUGAUUUGUAGUGUUUGAAACUUUGUGUAUAUAUCAAAAUUGUCAUGCCCGAGAGGGCCCGAAACUGAAAAUAAAAGAUAUUCUAAACUGUGAGAAACUGAAGGCCUAUCAAGGGUUACAAAUGUAAAGAGGAUACUGGAGGUAGAUGUCAUUCCAAAAUUGGCAUCAUUUUCAACUAAUGAUUACAUGAACUGAAGUGGGUGGAGUAUGGGACAGAUGACAGUUUCAUUUCAAAAAUUUCAAAAUCAGAACAAUAAUGUUCUUCUCUUGAUGUUUUUUUUUUUUUUUUUUUUUUUUUUAACUUACUUUUCUUGUGGCACUGCUUUCAUUUUAAUUCUCUUCUUAUCUAAUUAGUUAUGUAUAAUUCAUAUGACAAUUUUGUCAAAAAAAAAAUUUUUCUUCUUAUUUGUUAUCGUUUUUUCUUUCUAUUCAUUUUUAUCUCCCUUCAUGUCUUAUCAAUAAGUGUAACAGCCUUGCAAUGUUCGCAUUUUUGUAUCAAGUGUUAUUAUGUUUACUUUAGUUUAUAUCGGUUAUUACAUAUGUGACAUAAUAACAAUAUUAUUUCCUUAAAUGUAAUCCAACGCUUUCCCGUAUUUUUCUCACAAAAGAGUUUUUAGGGUUUUAGUGCGCGGAUUACAAAUAACAUUUAUUCUUUCACCACUUGUACAUAAUUUUAUCUUAUCUUAAUCUCUGUUCAUUGUACUACAUAAGAAUUAAUUUGUUCAUAAUACAUUAUUUUUAUUCAUGUCUUUCAAUUCACUGUAUAUAUUAGGAUGAUUUUUUACAUUAUUAUGUUAGACGACCAUAUGUUAGCCUGGCUAUAGCCAAAUAUGUUAUCCUCUUUAGAUAAAGUUAUUAUUAUUACCCAUAAAAUAUGAAUGUCUCGGUCUUGUUAUAUUGUGGCUUGAAACUUUUAAGAAGUAAAAUUAAAUGUACUUGAAACUUGUUAUACUUUAUGCUCUCGUGAUGCAAAUAGUAUAUUGUUCUCAUAUUUUGUCUAUGAAAUUUCUGUAAGUAAACGUUAAACAUUA